UGAUUUUCGAAAAUUUGAAGAGCAGUGUUGCUGAGUGUCCCAAGGAUAAGACGAACUUAUAUCAGGGUGUACAAAUGUGCUAAUGGUUGUUUUCUUGGACCAUCUCAUGGAAAACCCUUUGGAUCCUUAGACCAUCCCUAGGAUCAACUUGUAUACUUCAGAUUUAAUCGCGGACCUGAUAAUGGUACCCAAGGAUAGCCCUGGCCCUGAAAAGAAGCAUCGUAAGACUCAAAAGAU
Molecule: long non-coding RNA, 237 nt
Organism: Panicum virgatum (switchgrass)
Lineage: Eukaryota; Viridiplantae; Streptophyta; Magnoliopsida; Poales; Poaceae
Exons: 3
Source: RefSeq, a predicted model, not a curated record